UAUUGGUUCCAUUCCCCCUAGUAUUAAUGAUCCAUUUGCAGUGACGAUGACAAUCAUAGUUUAGGGCAAGAAAUAUAGAAGAUAAAGAAAAAUAUAAACAAUUACAACUGUACAGUAGAAAUGAUCGACAAAACAAGAUAAACAGAAGACAACAAGGCCUAAAUGGUGAGACUUCUUGGUUUUCAUGAUCAUCAACAGGUCUAUACAGAAGAGGAAACUUAAGGUUGAUACUUUUCUACAUUGUGUGCUAAUUGGAUUAAUGUGAAAUGAAAUGUGUGCUUACCUGGAAAAAGAAAAUAGGAAAUUUCUACAAAAUGGUUGUAAACAAAAUGGAGUACAAUCAUAGAUGCACAAGAACACAAUUGUGUAAUUGCAACAACCUACAUAUUCACUGAAGGGUUAUGGAGAAAUGUAGAAAAAAUAGUAUUUUGUUGUCGAAAUAAACACCUGCUUUAUCCAUUCAUGUUCAUAGCUCUGUCACAUCAAAUAUACAGAGGAAGAUGUUUGAAGAACAAAUUGCAAAACUGUAUUCUCUACCAAUUGAAGGAAGAUGUCUGGUGGAUGGAAUUAUUUAUGCACUGAACUGUUAUGUAGGGGAUUGAAUAAUUGUAUGCAGCAGCUUAAACAGAAGAAAAGUUAAAUUAACAUGAAAAGUGGUUAUUUUAUUUAAUCUGCAAAUAUGAGCACAAUAUUAAUAACAU
This is a long non-coding RNA of Mytilus californianus (California mussel), 701 nucleotides long. RefSeq lists it as uncharacterized. Lineage: Eukaryota; Metazoa; Mollusca; Bivalvia; Mytilida; Mytilidae. The transcript has 3 exons. The record is from RefSeq and is a predicted model, not a curated record.